CCUACGGGAUGCAGCAGUGAGGAAUAUUGGUCAAUGGCCGGAAGGCUGAACCAGCCAUGCCGCGUGAAGGUCAGUGCCCUAUGGGCGUUAAACUUCUUUUGUGCGGGAGCAAUAAUGGUCACGUGUGGCCAGACGAGAGUACCGUACGAAUAAGCAUCGGCUAACUCCGUGCCAGCAGCCGCGGUAAUACGGGGGAUGCAAGCGUUAUCCGGAUUUUUUGGGUUUAAAGGGUGCGUAGGCUGUGAGGUAAGUCAGCGGUGAAAUGCCCCCGCUCAACGGGGUGAAGUGCAAUUGAUACUGCCUGGCUGGAAUGCGGAUGCCGUGGGAGGAAUGUGUGGUGUAGCGGUGAAAUGCAUAGAUAUCACACAGAACACCGAUUGCGAAGGCAGCUCACUGGACUGCAACUGACACUGAGGCUCGAAAGUGUGGGUAUCAAACAGGAUUAGAUACCCGUGUAGUC
This 460-nucleotide ribosomal RNA is filed under the name uncultured bacterium. RNAcentral describes it as "partial 16S ribosomal RNA". It matches the Rfam family "Bacterial small subunit ribosomal RNA", at positions 338 to 795 of the family's 1533-position model. The record is from RNAcentral.